Molecule: transfer RNA, 73 nt
Filed under: Cricetulus griseus (Chinese hamster)
Lineage: Eukaryota; Metazoa; Chordata; Mammalia; Rodentia; Cricetidae
Rfam family: tRNA
About the family: Transfer RNA (tRNA) molecules are approximately 80 nucleotides in length.
Source: Rfam by way of RNAcentral
GGUGAUGUACUUCAGUUGGGAGAGUGCUUGCUUAGCAUGCAGAAAGCCCUGGGUUCUAUCCUCAGCAGCACCU